UACGGGGGGGGCAAGCGUUGUUCGGAAUUACUGGGCGUAAAGGGCUCGUAGGCGGCCAAUUAAGUCAGACGUGAAAUCCCUCGGCUUAACCGGGGAACUGCGUCUGAUACUGGAUGGCUUGAGUUUGGGAGAGGGACGCGGAAUUCCAGGUGUAGCGGUGAAAUGCGUAGAUAUCUGGAGGAACACCGGUGGCGAAGGCGGGUCUCUGGGCAGUAACUGACGCUGAGGAGCGAAAGCGUGGGGAGCGAACAGG
This 253-nucleotide ribosomal RNA is filed under the name uncultured bacterium. Its description in RNAcentral is "partial 16S ribosomal RNA". It matches the Rfam family "Bacterial small subunit ribosomal RNA", at positions 524 to 776 of the family's 1533-position model. The record is from RNAcentral.